GAUACGACCGUACCGCAAACCGACACUGGUGCGCGAGAUGAGUAUUCUAAGGCGCUUGAGAGAACUCAGGAGAAGGAACUCGGCAAAUUGACACCGUAACUUCGGAAGAAGGUGUGCCCUAUUAGUGUGUAGUGAACAACGAAGCAUGAAUGGGUUGCAAAAAAUCGGUGGCUGCGACUGUUUAUUAAAAACACAGCACUCUGCAAACACGAAAGUGGACGUAUAGGGUGUGACGCCUGCCCGGUGCUGGAAGAUUAAAUGAUGGGGUGCAAGCUCUUGAUUGAAGUCCCAGUAAACGGCGGCCGUAACUAUAACGGUCCUAAGGUAGCGAAAUUCCUUGUCGGGUAAGUUCCGACCUGCACGAAUGGCGUAACGAUGGCCACACUGUCUCCUCCUGAGACUCAGCGAAGUUGAAAUGUUUGUGAUGAUGCAAUCUCCCCGCGGAAAGACGGAAAGACCCCAUGAACCUUUACUGUAGCUUUGUAUUGGACUUUGAACAGAUCUGUGUAGGAUAGGUGGGAGGCUUUGAAGCAGGGUCGCUAGAUCUUGUGGAGCCAACGUUGAAAUACCACCCUGGUGUGUUUGAGGUUCUAACCUAGGUCCAUUAUCUGGAUCGGGGACAGUGCAUGGUAGGCAGUUUGACUGGGGCGGUCUCCUCCCAAAGCGUAACGGAGGAGUUCGAAGGUACGCUAGUUACGGUCGGACAUCGUGACGAUAGUGCAAUGGCAUAAGCGUGCUUAACUGCGAGACUGACAAGUCGAGCAGAUGCGAAAGCAGGACAUAGUGAUCCGGUGGUUCUGUAUGGAAGGGCCAUCGCUCAACGGAUAAAAGGUACUCUGGGGAUAACAGGCUGAUACCGCCCAAGAGUUCAUAUCGACGGCGGUGUUUGGCACCUCGAUGUCGGCUCAUCUCAUCCUGGGGCUGUAGCCGGUCCCAAGGGUAUGGCUGUUCGCCAUUUAAAGAGGUACGUGAGCUGGGUUUAAAACGUCGUGAGACAGUUUGGUCCCUAUCUUCCGUGGGCGCUGCAGAUUUGAGGAAGCCUGCUCCUAGUACGAGAGGACCGGAGUGGACACACCUCUGGUGUAUCGGUUGUCACGCCAGUGGCAUUGCCGAGUAGCUAAGUGUGGAAGAGAUAACCGCUGAAAGCAUCUAAGCGGGAAACUCGUUUCAAGAUGAGAUCUGCCGGGGCCUUGAGCCCCCUAAAGAGUCGUUCAAGACCAGGACGUUGAUAGGUCAGGUGUGGAAGCAAAAAA
This 1253-nucleotide ribosomal RNA is filed under the name metagenome. RNAcentral's name for it is "bacterial LSU rRNA". It matches the Rfam family "Bacterial large subunit ribosomal RNA", at positions 1635 to 2880 of the family's 2925-position model. The record is from RNAcentral.